UACAGAGGGUGCGAGCGUUAAUCGGAAUUACUGGGCGUAAAGGGUGCGUAGGUGGUUACGUAAGUUAGAUGUGAAAGCCCUGGGCUUAACCUGGGAAUUGCGUUUGAUACUGCGUAGCUAGAGUAUUGUAGAGGGAAGUGGAAUUUCCGGUGUAGCGGUGAAAUGCGUAGAUAUCGGAAGGAACAUCAGUGGCGAAGGCGACUUUCUGGACAAAUACUGACACUGAGGCACGAAAGCGUGGGGAGCAAACAGG
RNAcentral lists this ribosomal RNA (253 nucleotides) under uncultured bacterium. RNAcentral describes it as "partial 16S ribosomal RNA". It matches the Rfam family "Bacterial small subunit ribosomal RNA", at positions 524 to 776 of the family's 1533-position model. The record is from RNAcentral.